AUUCAGCUGACGAAUCCCAAAUAGGACGAAAUGCGCGUUGUCCUGGAU
Molecule: non-coding RNA, 48 nt
Filed under: Trichobilharzia regenti
Lineage: Eukaryota; Metazoa; Platyhelminthes; Trematoda; Strigeidida; Schistosomatidae
Source: RNAcentral